This 235-nucleotide ribosomal RNA is filed under the name uncultured bacterium. RNAcentral's name for it is "partial 16S ribosomal RNA". It matches the Rfam family "Bacterial small subunit ribosomal RNA", at positions 99 to 334 of the family's 1533-position model. The record is from RNAcentral.
CGGACGGGUGAGUAACGCGUGGGUAACCUGCCUCAUACAGGGGGAUAACGGUUAGAAAUGGCUGCUAAUACCGCAUAAGCGCACAGUACCGCAUGGUACGGUGUGAAAAACUCCGGUGGUAUGAGAUGGACCCGCGUCUGAUUAGCUGGUUGGUGAGGUAACGGCCCACCAAGGCGACGAUCAGUAGCCGACCUGAGAGGGUGACCGGCCACAUUGGGACUGAGACACGGCCCAG